CAUUUAGUAAUUUAGACUUUGAAGCCAUUGGAAGAAUCUUAAUUAAACCUUUUUUAGGCAUGAAAAAAUAGCUAUUACAGUGCUUGCAAAACCUAUCUUUCGCUUGGCUCAUGCGUUAUUAGGAUGAUGCUUAAAUUAUUAUUUUUUAAUGUAACUGUGUCUCCUUUAUUAAGAAAUGUUGACUAGACAAGUGAUCUGUCCAAAUUUAAAACUAGAAAUAGAACCUUUAUCUCCCACCCUGUCUGAAUUAUUCUUUCCAUAUGUAGCUGCUUAGUUGUGUCUUUACCACUAAUUAACCAUGUGAACUCUAAGCAAGUUAUUUUACUUUUCUUCAUCUUUUUAUCUUUUGUAAAAUUAGGGGGUUAUUAUGAAUCAUUUCUAACAUCUCUGCUAAUGCCCCAGAUACUGUAAAUGACCCAGAAUGUAAUUGCGGGCAGUGUUAACUUAGCUUCCUAGAAGAUGGGGGAUAUGACUGGGCCUUGAAUAAAAUCCAAGAUUUGGCAGAGUAGAGAGGGAAAGAAUUCAUGAGAUGGGGAGCAGUAGAACAAAGGCUUAGGUGUGAAUAUGUGGCUGUAGUAAAGAGAAAUGGCCUGAUUAUAGCAAUUAUAUGAGGUUUAGUAGAACCAUUUAAGAAAGGUAAAGCCACUUCAUAGAAAUUAUUUUAUCCCUGCUGGUGGUUCUCUGUACCUGGCACAUACAGUCAUCCUGGAACCUUUAUCCCCGGGAUUUCCUUCAAUUUCCUCAUGUGUUAGGUUUCAUUUCCUGUAUUUCAAGUCUUGCACUUUUUUGGUUUGCAUCCUCAUUUUGGUGGAGCAUGUCCUACAGUAGCUUCCUGCG
This 837-nucleotide long non-coding RNA is filed under the name Homo sapiens (human). RNAcentral's name for it is "HSALNT0329892". The record is from RNAcentral. Lineage: Eukaryota; Metazoa; Chordata; Mammalia; Primates; Hominidae.